Molecule: ribosomal RNA, 99 nt
Filed under: uncultured bacterium
Lineage: Bacteria
Description: partial 16S ribosomal RNA
Rfam family: Bacterial small subunit ribosomal RNA
Source: RNAcentral
ACCAUGAGAGUUGGAAUACCCGAAGCCUGUGAGCUAACUGUAAAGAGGCAGCAGUCGAAGGUAGAGCCAAUGAUUGGGGUGAAGUCGUAACAAGGUACC